UAUAUUAUUUGCCUAAUCAAAAUAUAUUAAAUCCAACAAAACCCAAAUAUGUUUAACAAAUGUAACGUAAAAUCAGUUAAUUGAGUCCCCUGUGCCACUCUUCAACCCAAAAUGAACAAGUUGAACUACGUAAGCAUGCGUGGGAGUUCACACUCCCUGACCUUGCCAAGCAGUAAGCGUCCACCAUUUCCAGCCUCUGCUUAAGACAGCAAGAGUGGCGUGUCGGGUGCAAGUUUUAUUUCUGGUUAUCUCAUGCUGUGCAGUUUUUUGCAGUUACAAAGCUCUUCUUGGCAACCUCUUAGUGAUAGAUAAUGUAUGUGGACGUGUAAAGAGUGCAGUUUAGACUUAGCUACCAGGUACUUGUUGUUGCAACAUUUUAGGCAGGCCCAUGGGAAUCUGCGGGGUAGUUGUAGAUAUCUUUGUCCAUACACAGAUUGUCCAUGUACAUUUCAUACAUGGAGUAAGCUACUAAAUCACAUUUUAUAAAAAUCAUUCUAAUCGGCAGUCUCCAAAGGAAGUAGGAGCCUCUACAUUCCAAUGUCAUGUGUGCUCAUGUAGAGAACUAGUUCCAUGUGUGUUUCUAGGAUAUACAUUUGAAACAAAUGUUUAUAGUACAUUCAACACACACACAAAAACAGGAAACACAACCAGCAUUCAUUAAAAGAUUUUAAAGCUCAUGUCCUCAGUACAAACACUCAGUUAGAUCAGUCAGACUAUUCAGUAAAAACUCAAAUGCCCCAAAACCCCAAAUUCAUCCAUAGUCUCAUCCUGCAGUGAUGACACCUUGUGCACAUCAACCCCACAUUCAUCUCCAGAAGUCCAGCUCUCGGGAUUGUCCUCCUGGCCUUGAGUUUUUGUCAUCCCAAAGUUCACUUACGAGGCUGAAUUUGAACUACAGCAAAAAAAAAUGCAGAGUUUGAGAGAAAUGGAACAUACUUCACCCCUGGCCCAAAGCUGAAAGGAGUCAUCCUUGAUAGCCUAGCUCAAGAAAUUAUGAAGUACACAAAAUACCCAAAAGACUAUCAAUGUGAAGAGGUUGCGGAAGCUUUGAGGAGUGCCCAUCCUUGUUUGGCACAGCUGGGAACCAAGACAGGCUUUUGGGAUUGGCAGCAGUCACUUCAGUAUAAAGUGCAAAACUAUCGAACAAAACUCGGACGACUUCGACAUCCUGAAAUCCGUGUAAACUCCUUGAAGCACAAACGAGAAGGCCGAGGCAAAGCUGCAGUCAACAUAAAAAACAAACAAACAAGAAAAGCUGAAGUUAACUACAUUCCUCUGCACCCAAAAGGUGAAACUGCAGAAAGCUUGGAGAAUGAGAGAAUCACUUUAUUGUCAGAACUGAAAAAGCGUGACAAUGAAGUGGUGAUAAAAGCAAAAAUGGAGAAGACCUACUCACACAGAUGCUUGGAGUUUGUGGAGCAGAGGCCAGUGAUAGGAGACUUCAAAGACAGAUGGCCUGCCCUCUUCCAGGAAAGUGGAGUGCCGUGAAAAGAUGGAGAGUUAACAGCAUAACCUAUGACAUAGAGCGGUCCCAUGUCUGAUCACUUAAAGCAUGUUUCAGGAAGAGCAGGCGGUGGAGGGAGAGGGAGGUAGUGGUAGCUCCAGGCAGUCCAGAUUCUUUUCGAUUAGUUUAGUGGAUUGUGUUAUAUGCGUCAAACUUAAAAACCCAGUACAAUUAUAUUAAUGCAGUCAUAAAAAAUUUAUUAUGGAAUGUUAAUGUCAGGAGAGUCAUAGUUUCAACUUCAGAUGUAUAAUUUCAUUUGUUAAUUUAUUUGUUAUAACUGUUUUAGAGCACCCUCUCUGAGCACAGCCAAAUCUCAGUAUGUCGAGGGGCCAAUGCCCUUCUGAAUGGAGAGUUAGAAUCUAUGGAUGUUUUUGCACAAAUAAAAUUAACUAAACUGUU
Molecule: long non-coding RNA, 1903 nt
Organism: Thunnus maccoyii (southern bluefin tuna)
Lineage: Eukaryota; Metazoa; Chordata; Actinopteri; Scombriformes; Scombridae
Exons: 4
Source: RefSeq, a predicted model, not a curated record